This 593-nucleotide ribosomal RNA is filed under the name uncultured Glomus. Its description in RNAcentral is "SSU rRNA". It matches the Rfam family "Eukaryotic small subunit ribosomal RNA", at positions 314 to 913 of the family's 1831-position model. The record is from RNAcentral. Lineage: Eukaryota; Fungi; Glomeromycota; Glomeromycetes; Glomerales; Glomeraceae.
AUCANCUUUCGAUGGUAGGAUAGAGGCCUACCAUGGUGGUAACGGGUAACGGGGUGUUAGGGCACGACACCGGAGAGGGAGCCUGAGAAACGGCUACCACAUCCAAGGAUGGCAGCAGGCGCGCAAAUUACCCAAUCCCGACACGGGGAGGUAGUGACAAUAAAUAACAAUACGGGGUUCUUUCGGAUCUCGUAAUUGGAAUGAGUACAAUUUAAAUCUCUUAACGAGGAACAAUUGGAGGGCAAGUCUGGUGCCAGCAGCCGCGGUAAUUCCAGCUCCAAUAGCGUAUAUUAAAGUUGUUGCAGUUAAAAAGCUCGUAGUUGAAUUUCGGGAUUAAUUUAUUGGUCGUGCAAUAGUACGUACUGGUAUUAUUGAUUCCUACCUUCUGACGAACCAUGAUGUCAUUAAUUUGGUGUCAUGGGGAAUCAGGACUGUUACUUUGAAAAAAUUAGAGUGUUUAAAGCAGGCUCACGCUUGAAUACAUUAGCAUGGAAUAACGAAAUAGGACGUUUGAUUCUAUUUUGUUGGUUUCUAGGAUCGACGUAAUGAUAAUAGGGAUAGUUGGGGGCACUAGUAUUCAAUUGUCAGAGGUG